RNAcentral lists this long non-coding RNA (455 nucleotides) under Rattus norvegicus (Norway rat). RNAcentral describes it as "long non-coding RNA NONRATT004828". Lineage: Eukaryota; Metazoa; Chordata; Mammalia; Rodentia; Muridae. The record is from RNAcentral.
CUCCCCCCACACACACACACAUUGCAGGGCUCAGGGAAACGAUAGUGCCCUCGCCCCCCUCUAACUUCUCUCUUUCUCUCACCAGCCCUUCUGCGAUGGCUCCCACUUCUUCCAGCGCACUGGCCUUUCCCCACUCAAGUUCAAGGCCGAAGAGACACGCACAGUGGCCCUCUGUACCUGCAAGGCCACUCGGCGGCCCCCUUACUGUGAUGGUACCCACAAGAGUGAGCAGGUACAGAAAGCGGAAGUAGGCUCCCCGCUCUGAGGGGUACCGAGACUGCGAGCCUCUUCCAGGCCUCCCUUCCUUGAAGGCAGUGGUGCCACCCACAGAAAGUAACAUCCAAGGACUACAUCUGCUUGUGAGCAGUGGUUCCCUGAGAAACUUGUGCUCUCCUCUUGGGCAGCGGAGAGCAGACCCUGGUAAAGCUGUCAUUAAAUGCUGAGACCCACCCUCC